Molecule: ribosomal RNA, 620 nt
Filed under: uncultured Blastococcus sp.
Lineage: Bacteria; Bacillati; Actinomycetota; Actinomycetes; Geodermatophilales; Geodermatophilaceae
Description: bacterial SSU rRNA
Rfam family: Bacterial small subunit ribosomal RNA
Source: RNAcentral
UCAGCAGGGACGAAGCGGAAGUGACGGUACCUGCAGAAGAAGCACCGGCCAACUACGUGCCAGCAGCCGCGGUAAUACGUAGGGUGCAAGCGUUGUCCGGAAUUAUUGGGCGUAAAGAGCUCGUAGGCGGUUUGUUGCGUCGGCUGUGAAAUCCCGAGGCUCAACCUCGGGUCUGCAGUCGAUACGAGCAAACUAGAGUGUUGCAGGGGAGACUGGAAUUCCUGGUGUAGCGGUGAAAUGCGCAGAUAUCAGGAGGAACACCGGUGGCGAAGGCGGGUCUCUGGGCAACAACUGACGCUGAGGAGCGAAAGCGUGGGGAGCGAACAGGAUUAGAUACCCUGGUAGUCCACGCCGUAAACGUUGGGCGCUAGGUGUGGGGCUCAUUCCACGAGUUCCGUGCCGCAGCUAACGCAUUAAGCGCCCCGCCUGGGGAGUACGGCCGCAAGGCUAAAACUCAAAGGAAUUGACGGGGGCCCGCACAAGCGGCGGAGCAUGUUGCUUAAUUCGAUGCAACGCGAAGAACCUUACCUAGGCUUGACAUGCACGGAAAUCUCGCAGAGAUGUGGGGUCCGUAAGGGCCGUGCACAGGUGGUGCAUGGUUGUCGUCAGCUCGUGUCGUG